CAGAAUAUAGCUUAUUUAGAGCAUUUCAUUUACACUGAAAUGGAUAUCACGAGAAUGGUGAUUGUUUUGA
Molecule: transfer RNA, 70 nt
Filed under: Charinus carajas
Lineage: Eukaryota; Metazoa; Arthropoda; Arachnida; Amblypygi; Charinidae
Description: tRNA-Val
Source: RNAcentral